CUCUCCUGGUGGUUUUCUCAAGGAUGGGCCACCUGAACCAGAAUCACCAGCAAUGCAUGCAUGCCUCUCUCACUCCUACUCCAGACGUGCUAAAUCGGAAGCCUGGGGGCUGGGGGGAGGCACUGAGGAAUUACAGCUGCUAACAAAAUCUACACAUGUCUUAGGCACCCUGAUGUUGCGGAAUACUGUGGGCAUCCCAGGAGGGAAUGCUGGAGUGUCCUUUCUGAAAACAAGGCCUCAUCAGUAAUGAUGUUUCUUCACUGUGAUUUCUUCGCCAGGAAAUAUUUUGAUCCCUGUCUCAAAAUUCAAGAGAGGGAGGGUGGUGGCCCCAGGGACGGGGCACUGGAGGAAAGGGGCAGACACUCUGAAGUAGCUCCUCCAAACUUCAGGGAAAGGGAGUGACUGCCAAACAUGUCUCAUGCCACAGGAACCUACCUCGGCGGGCUGGUCGGCUGGCUGGGGGAUCAGGAGCUGGUUGUGAUGCUGCAGCACAGUCUUCAAAUAAUCCAGAACGGUCUGGCAGGGCAC
Molecule: long non-coding RNA, 528 nt
Organism: Neofelis nebulosa (Clouded leopard)
Lineage: Eukaryota; Metazoa; Chordata; Mammalia; Carnivora; Felidae
Exons: 3
Source: RefSeq, a predicted model, not a curated record